This 12447-nucleotide long non-coding RNA is filed under the name Xyrichtys novacula (pearly razorfish). Lineage: Eukaryota; Metazoa; Chordata; Actinopteri; Labriformes; Labridae. The record is from RNAcentral.
GGUUAGGGUUAGGGUUAGGGGUUAGGGUUAGGGUUAGGGUUAGGGUUAGGGUUAGGGUUUAGGGUUAGGGUUAGGGUUAGGGUUAGGGUUAGGGUUAGGGUUAGGGGUUAGGGUUAGGGUUAGGGUUAGGGUUAGGGUUAGGGUUAGGGUUAGGGUUAGGGUUAGGGUUAGGGUUAGGGUUAGGGUUAGGGUUAGGGUUAGGGUUAGGGUUAGGGUUAGGGUUAGGGUUAGGGUUAGGGUUAGGGGUUAGGGUUAGGGUUAGGGUUAGGGUUAGGGUUAGGGUUAGGGUUAGGGGUUAGGGUUAGGGUUAGGGUUAGGGUUAGGGUUAGGGUUAGGGUUAGGGUUAGGGUUAGGGUUAGGGUUAGGGUUAGGGUUAGGGGUUAGGGUUAGGGUUAGGGUUAGGGUUAGGGUUAGGGUUAGGAUAUAGGGAUAUGUGCCACUUUUGACAUGCCGGUUCAUUGCCUUUCCCAAUGAUGAACCGGGCUGAGAUUUGGUCUACCCCCCCAUUUUCGGGUAUGCUGAAUCUAGAAAUAGUAAUGAACCAGCGAUCGGACAUUCCUAUCAAAAGUUAUGGCGAAGUGAAAAUUUCCCAUUGAAAAUGAAUGGGAGCGGAAAAAUGGCCAAAGUCAGUGUUUGCAAGUGUUCUACUUGUCUGGAAAUGUUGAAAAUGCAUUGUGAGCACGUUUCAGGCCAUUUCCUGUCAUUUGAGGGCGACUUUGCAAAAAGGGGUGUCCUACCGCUUUUGACCAGAGGUGGUGCUGCACAUGUCCGACGGUUAGGGUUAGGGUGAGACUUUGGGCAAGGGGUUAGGGUUAGGGCUGGAGCUAUGGUUAGGGUUAGUGGUGGAGCUAGGGUUGGAGCUAGGGUUAGGGUUAGGGUUGGAGCUAGGGUUAGGGUUAGGGUUAGGAAAAUGUGAAGAUUUUCCCAAAAUCUGAAGAUUUUCCUAAGUGCGGACCCAAUUUUUCACCUUCCAGAAUUGUGUUAGGAGCACGUUUCAGGCCACGGGGAGUCCAUAGAACCUGAUUGUGGGUGAAGUUUUCGGGGGUUGGAGCUUUGGGGCAGGAUAUAGGGAUAUGUGCCACUUUUGACAUGCCGGUUCAUUGCCUUUCCCAAUGAUGAACCGGGCUGAGAUUUGGUCUACCCCCCAUUUUCGGGUAUGCUGAAUCUAGAAAUAGUAAUGAACCAGCGAUCGGACAUUCCUAUCAAAAGUUAUGGCGAAGUGAAAAUUUCCCAUUGAAGAUGAAUGGGAGCGGAAAAAUGGCCAAAGUCAGUGUUUGCAAGUGUUCUACUUGUCUGGAAAUGUUGAAAAUGCAUUGUGAGCACGUUUCAGGCCAUUUCCUGUCAUUUGAGGGCGACUUUGCAAAAGGGGUGUCCUACCGCUUUUGACCAGAGGUGGCGCUGCACAUGUCCGACGGUUAGGGUUAGGGUGAGACUUUGGGCAAGGGGUUAGGGUUAGGGCUGGAGCUAUGGUUAGGGUUAGUUGUGGAGCUAGGGUUGGAGCUAGGGUUAGGGUUAGGGUUGGAGCUAGGGUUAGGGUUAGGGUUAGGAAAAUGUGAAGAUUUUCCCAAAAUCUGAAGAUUUUCCUAAGUGCGGACCCAAUUUUUCACCUUCCAGAAUUGUGUUAGGAGCACGUUUCAGGCCACGGGGAGUCCAUAGAACCUGAUUGUGGGUGAAGUUUUCGGGGGUUGGAGCUUUGGGGCAGGAUAUAGGGAUAUGUGCCACUUUUGACAUGCCGGUUCAUUGCCUUUCCCAAUGAUGAACCGGGCUGAGAUUUGGUCUACCCCCCAUUUUCGGGUAUGCUGAAUCUAGAAAUAGUAAUGAACCAGCGAUCGGACAUUCCUAUCAAAAGUUAUGGCGAAGUGAAAAUUUCCCAUUGAAGAUGAAUGGGAGCGGAAAAAUGGCCAAAGUCAGUGUUUGCAAGUGUUCUACUUGUCUGGAAAUGUUGAAAAUGCAUUGUGAGCACGUUUCAGGCCAUUUCCUGUCAUUUGAGGGCGACUUUGCAAAAAGGGGUGUCCUACCGCUUUUGACCAGAGGUGGCGCUGCACAUGUCCGACGGUUAGGGUUAGGGUGAGACUUUGGGCAAGGGGUUAGGGUUAGGGCUGGAGCUAUGGUUAGGGUUAGUUGUGGAGCUAGGGUUGGAGCUAGGGUUAGGGUUAGGGUUGGAGCUAGGGUUAGGGUUAGGGUUAGGAAAAUGUGAAGAUUUUCCCAAAAUCUGAAGAUUUUCCUAAGUGCGGACCCAAUUUUUCACCUUCCAGAAUUGUGUUAGGAGCACGUUUCAGGCCACGGGGAGUCCAUAGAACCUGAUUGUGGGUGAAGUUUUCGGGGGUUGGAGCUUUGGGGCAGGAUAUAGGGAUAUGUGCCACUUUUGACAUGCCGGUUCAUUGCCUUUCCCAAUGAUGAACCGGGCUGAGAUUUGGUCUACCCCCCAUUUUCGGGUAUGCUGAAUCUAGAAAUAGUAAUGAACCAGCGAUCGGACAUUCCUAUCAAAAGUUAUGGCGAAGUGAAAAUUUCCCAUUGAAGAUGAAUGGGAGCGGAAAAAUGGCCAAAGUCAGUGUUUGCAAGUGUUCUACUUGUCUGGAAAUGUUGAAAAUGCAUUGUGAGCACGUUUCAGGCCAUUUCCUGUCAUUUGAGGGCGACUUUGCAAAAGGGGUGUCCUACCGCUUUUGACCAGAGGUGGCGCUGCACAUGUCCGACGGUUAGGGUUAGGGUGAGACUUUGGGCAAGGGGUUAGGGUUAGGGCUGGAGCUAUGGUUAGGGUUAGUUGUGGAGCUAGGGUUGGAGCUAGGGUUAGGGUUAGGGUUGGAGCUAGGGUUAGGGUUAGGGUUAGGAAAAUGUGAAGAUUUUCCCAAAAUCUGAAGAUUUUCCUAAGUGCGGACCCAAUUUUUCACCUUCCAGAAUUGUGUUAGGAGCACGUUUCAGGCCACGGGGAGUCCAUAGAACCUGAUUGUGGGUGAAGUUUUCGGGGGUUGGAGCUUUGGGGCAGGAUAUAGGGAUAUGUGCCACUUUUGACAUGCCGGUUCAUUGCCUUUCCCAAUGAUGAACCGGGCUGAGAUUUGGUCUACCCCCCAUUUUCGGGUAUGCUGAAUCUAGAAAUAGUAAUGAACCAGCGAUCGGACAUUCCUAUCAAAAGUUAUGGCGAAGUGAAAAUUUCCCAUUGAAGAUGAAUGGGAGCGGAAAAAUGGCCAAAGUCAGUGUUUGCAAGUGUUCUACUUGUCUGGAAAUGUUGAAAAUGCAUUGUGAGCACGUUUCAGGCCAUUUCCUGUCAUUUGAGGGCGACUUUGCAAAAGGGGUGUCCUACCGCUUUUGACCAGAGGUGGCGCUGCACAUGUCCGACGGUUAGGGUUAGGGUGAGACUUUGGGCAAGGGGUUAGGGUUAGGGCUGGAGCUAUGGUUAGGGUUAGUUGUGGAGCUAGGGUUGGAGCUAGGGUUAGGGUUAGGGUUGGAGCUAGGGUUAGGGUUAGGGUUAGGAAAAUGUGAAGAUUUUCCCAAAAUCUGAAGAUUUUCCUAAGUGCGGACCCAAUUUUUCACCUUCCAGAAUUGUGUUAGGAGCACGUUUCAGGCCACGGGGAGUCCAUAGAACCUGAUUGUGGGUGAAGUUUUCGGGGGUUGGAGCUUUGGGGCAGGAUAUAGGGAUAUGUGCCACUUUUGACAUGCCGGUUCAUUGCCUUUCCCAAUGAUGAACCGGGCUGAGAUUUGGUCUACCCCCCAUUUUCGGGUAUGCUGAAUCUAGAAAUAGUAAUGAACCAGCGAUCGGACAUUCCUAUCAAAAGUUAUGGCGAAGAGUGAAAAUUUCCCAUUGAAGAUGAAUGGGAGCGGAAAAAUGGCCAAAGUCAGUGUUUGCAAGUGUUCUACUUGUCUGGAAAUGUUGAAAAUGCAUUGUGAGCACGUUUCAGGCCAUUUCCUGUCAUUUGAGGGCGACUUUGCAAAAGGGGUGUCCUACCGCUUUUGACCAGAGGUGGCGCUGCACAUGUCCGACGGUUAGGGUUAGGGUGAGACUUUGGGCAAGGGGUUAGGGUUAGGGCUGGAGCUAUGGUUAGGGUUAGUUGUGGAGCUAGGGUUGGAGCUAGGGUUAGGGUUAGGGUUGGAGCUAGGGUUAGGGUUAGGGUUAGGAAAAUGUGAAGAUUUUCCCAAAAUCUGAAGAUUUUCCUAAGUGCGGACCCAAUUUUUCACCUUCCAGAAUUGUGUUAGGAGCACGUUUCAGGCCACGGGGAGUCCAUAGAACCUGAUUGUGGGUGAAGUUUUCGGGGGUUGGAGCUUUGGGGCAGGAUAUAGGGAUAUGUGCCACUUUUGACAUGCCGGUUCAUUGCCUUUCCCAAUGAUGAACCGGGCUGAGAUUUGGUCUACCCCCCAUUUUCGGGUAUGCUGAAUCUAGAAAUAGUAAUGAACCAGCGAUCGGACAUUCCUAUCAAAAGUUAUGGCGAAGUGAAAAUUUCCCAUUGAAGAUGAAUGGGAGCGGAAAAUGGCCAAAGUCAGUGUUUGCAAGUGUUCUACUUGUCUGGAAAUGUUGAAAAUGCAUUGUGAGCACGUUUCAGGCCAUUUCCUGUCAUUUGAGGGCGACUUUGCAAAAAGGGGUGUCCUACCGCUUUUGACCAGAGGUGGCGCUGCACAUGUCCGACGGUUAGGGUUAGGGUGAGACUUUGGGCAAGGGGUUAGGGUUAGGGCUGGAGCUAUGGUUAGGGUUAGUUGUGGAGCUAGGGUUGGAGCUAGGGUUAGGGUUAGGGUUGGAGCUAGGGUUAGGGUUAGGGUUAGGAAAAUGUGAAGAUUUUCCCAAAAUCUGAAGAUUUUCCUAAGUGCGGACCCAAUUUUUCACCUUCCAGAAUUGUGUUAGGAGCACGUUUCAGGCCACGGGGAGUCCAUAGAACCUGAUUGUGGGUGAAGUUUUCGGGGGUUGGAGCUUUGGGGCAGGAUAUAGGGAUAUGUGCCACUUUUGACAUGCCGGUUCAUUGCCUUUCCCAAUGAUGAACCGGGCUGAGAUUUGGUCUACCCCCCAUUUUCGGGUAUGCUGAAUCUAGAAAUAGUAAUGAACCAGCGAUCGGACAUUCCUAUCAAAAGUUAUGGCGAAGUGAAAAUUUCCCAUUGAAGAUGAAUGGGAGCGGAAAAAUGGCCAAAGUCAGUGUUUGCAAGUGUUCUACUUGUCUGGAAAUGUUGAAAAUGCAUUGUGAGCACGUUUCAGGCCAUUUCCUGUCAUUUGAGGGCGACUUUGCAAAAAGGGGUGUCCUACCGCUUUUGACCAGAGGUGGCGCUGCACAUGUCCGACGGUUAGGGUUAGGGUGAGACUUUGGGCAAGGGGUUAGGGUUAGGGCUGGAGCUAUGGUUAGGGUUAGUUGUGGAGCUAGGGUUGGAGCUAGGGUUAGGGUUAGGGUUGGAGCUAGGGUUAGGGUUAGGGUUAGGAAAAUGUGAAGAUUUUCCCAAAAUCUGAAGAUUUUCCUAAGUGCGGACCCAAUUUUUCACCUUCCAGAAUUGUGUUAGGAGCACGUUUCAGGCCACGGGGAGUCCAUAGAACCUGAUUGUGGGUGAAGUUUUCGGGGGUUGGAGCUUUGGGGCAGGAUAUAGGGAUAUGUGCCACUUUUGACAUGCCGGUUCAUUGCCUUUCCCAAUGAUGAACCGGGCUGAGAUUUGGUCUACCCCCCAUUUUCGGGUAUGCUGAAUCUAGAAAUAGUAAUGAACCAGCGAUCGGACAUUCCUAUCAAAAGUUAUGGCGAAGUGAAAAUUUCCCAUUGAAGAUGAAUGGGAGCGGAAAAAUGGCCAAAGUCAGUGUUUGCAAGUGUUCUACUUGUCUGGAAAUGUUGAAAAUGCAUUGUGAGCACGUUUCAGGCCAUUUCCUGUCAUUUGAGGGCGACUUUGCAAAAGGGGUGUCCUACCGCUUUUGACCAGAGGUGGCGCUGCACAUGUCCGACGGUUAGGGUUAGGGUGAGACUUUGGGCAAGGGGUUAGGGUUAGGGCUGGAGCUAUGGUUAGGGUUAGUUGUGGAGCUAGGGUUGGAGCUAGGGUUAGGGUUAGGGUUGGAGCUAGGGUUAGGGUUAGGGUUAGGAAAAUGUGAAGAUUUUCCCAAAAUCUGAAGAUUUUCCUAAGUGCGGACCCAAUUUUUCACCUUCCAGAAUUGUGUUAGGAGCACGUUUCAGGCCACGGGGAGUCCAUAGAACCUGAUUGUGGGUGAAGUUUUCGGGGGUUGGAGCUUUGGGGCAGGAUAUAGGGAUAUGUGCCACUUUUGACAUGCCGGUUCAUUGCCUUUCCCAAUGAUGAACCGGGCUGAGAUUUGGUCUACCCCCCCAUUUUCGGGUAUGCUGAAUCUAGAAAUAGUAAUGAACCAGCGAUCGGACAUUCCUAUCAAAAGUUAUGGCGAAGUGAAAAUUUCCCAUUGAAGAUGAAUGGGAGCGGAAAAAUGGCCAAAGUCAGUGUUUGCAAGUGUUCUACUUGUCUGGAAAUGUUGAAAAUGCAUUGUGAGCACGUUUCAGGCCAUUUCCUGUCAUUUGAGGGCGACUUUGCAAAAGGGGUGUCCUACCGCUUUUGACCAGAGGUGGCGCUGCACAUGUCCGACGGUUAGGGUUAGGGUGAGACUUUGGGCAAGGGGUUAGGGUUAGGGCUGGAGCUAUGGUUAGGGUUAGUUGUGGAGCUAGGGUUGGAGCUAGGGUUAGGGUUAGGGUUGGAGCUAGGGUUAGGGUUAGGGUUAGGAAAAUGUGAAGAUUUUCCCAAAAUCUGAAGAUUUUCCUAAGUGCGGACCCAAUUUUUCACCUUCCAGAAUUGUGUUAGGAGCACGUUUCAGGCCACGGGGAGUCCAUAGAACCUGAUUGUGGGUGAAGUUUUCGGGGGUUGGAGCUUUGGGGCAGGAUAUAGGGAUAUGUGCCACUUUUGACAUGCCGGUUCAUUGCCUUUCCCAAUGAUGAACCGGGCUGAGAUUUGGUCUACCCCCCAUUUUCGGGUAUGCUGAAUCUAGAAAUAGUAAUGAACCAGCGAUCGGACAUUCCUAUCAAAAGUUAUGGCGAAGUGAAAAUUUCCCAUUGAAGAUGAAUGGGAGCGGAAAAAUGGCCAAAGUCAGUGUUUGCAAGUGUUCUACUUGUCUGGAAAUGUUGAAAAUGCAUUGUGAGCACGUUUCAGGCCAUUUCCUGUCAUUUGAGGGCGACUUUGCAAAAGGGGUGUCCUACCGCUUUUGACCAGAGGUGGCGCUGCACAUGUCCGACGGUUAGGGUUAGGGUGAGACUUUGGGCAAGGGGUUAGGGUUAGGGCUGGAGCUAUGGUUAGGGUUAGUUGUGGAGCUAGGGUUGGAGCUAGGGUUAGGGUUAGGGUUGGAGCUAGGGUUAGGGUUAGGGUUAGGAAAAUGUGAAGAUUUUCCCAAAAUCUGAAGAUUUUCCUAAGUGCGGACCCAAUUUUUCACCUUCCAGAAUUGUGUUAGGAGCACGUUUCAGGCCACGGGGAGUCCAUAGAACCUGAUUGUGGGUGAAGUUUUCGGGGGUUGGAGCUUUGGGGCAGGAUAUAGGGAUAUGUGCCACUUUUGACAUGCCGGUUCAUUGCCUUUCCCAAUGAUGAACCGGGCUGAGAUUUGGUCUACCCCCCCAUUUUCGGGUAUGCUGAAUCUAGAAAUAGUAAUGAACCAGCGAUCGGACAUUCCUAUCAAAAGUUAUGGCGAAGUGAAAAUUUCCCAUUGAAGAUGAAUGGGAGCGGAAAAAUGGCCAAAGUCAGUGUUUGCAAGUGUUCUACUUGUCUGGAAAUGUUGAAAAUGCAUUGUGAGCACGUUUCAGGCCAUUUCCUGUCAUUUGAGGGCGACUUUGCAAAAGGGGUGUCCUACCGCUUUUGACCAGAGGUGGCGCUGCACAUGUCCGACGGUUAGGGUUAGGGUGAGACUUUGGGCAAGGGGUUAGGGUUAGGGCUGGAGCUAUGGUUAGGGUUAGUUGUGGAGCUAGGGUUGGAGCUAGGGUUAGGGUUAGGGUUGGAGCUAGGGUUAGGGUUAGGGUUAGGAAAAUGUGAAGAUUUUCCCAAAAUCUGAAGAUUUUCCUAAGUGCGGACCCAAUUUUUCACCUUCCAGAAUUGUGUUAGGAGCACGUUUCAGGCCACGGGGAGUCCAUAGAACCUGAUUGUGGGUGAAGUUUUCGGGGGUUGGAGCUUUGGGGCAGGAUAUAGGGAUAUGUGCCACUUUUGACAUGCCGGUUCAUUGCCUUUCCCAAUGAUGAACCGGGCUGAGAUUUGGUCUACCCCCCAUUUUCGGGUAUGCUGAAUCUAGAAAUAGUAAUGAACCAGCGAUCGGACAUUCCUAUCAAAAGUUAUGGCGAAGUGAAAAUUUCCCAUUGAAGAUGAAUGGGAGCGGAAAAAUGGCCAAAGUCAGUGUUUGCAAGUGUUCUACUUGUCUGGAAAUGUUGAAAAUGCAUUGUGAGCACGUUUCAGGCCAUUUCCUGUCAUUUGAGGGCGACUUUGCAAAAGGGGUGUCCUACCGCUUUUGACCAGAGGUGGCGCUGCACAUGUCCGACGGUUAGGGUUAGGGUGAGACUUUGGGCAAGGGGUUAGGGUUAGGGCUGGAGCUAUGGUUAGGGUUAGUUGUGGAGCUAGGGUUGGAGCUAGGGUUAGGGUUAGGGUUGGAGCUAGGGUUAGGGUUAGGGUUAGGAAAAUGUGAAGAUUUUCCCAAAAUCUGAAGAUUUUCCUAAGUGCGGACCCAAUUUUUCACCUUCCAGAAUUGUGUUAGGAGCACGUUUCAGGCCACGGGGAGUCCAUAGAACCUGAUUGUGGGUGAAGUUUUCGGGGGUUGGAGCUUUGGGGCAGGAUAUAGGGAUAUGUGCCACUUUUGACAUGCCGGUUCAUUGCCUUUCCCAAUGAUGAACCGGGCUGAGAUUUGGUCUACCCCCCAUUUUCGGGUAUGCUGAAUCUAGAAAUAGUAAUGAACCAGCGAUCGGACAUUCCUAUCAAAAGUUAUGGCGAAGUGAAAAUUUCCCAUUGAAGAUGAAUGGGAGCGGAAAAAUGGCCAAAGUCAGUGUUUGCAAGUGUUGUACUUGUCUGGAAAUGUUGAAAAUGCAUUGUGAGCACGUUUCAGGCCAUUUCCUGUCAUUUGAGGGCGACUUUGCAAAAAGGGGUGUCCUACCGCUUUUGACCAGAGGUGGCGCUGCACAUGUCCGACGGUUAGGGUUAGGGUGAGACUUUGGGCAAGGGGUUAGGGUUAGGGCUGGAGCUAUGGUUAGGGUUAGUUGUGGAGCUAGGGUUGGAGCUAGGGUUAGGGUUAGGGUUGGAGCUAGGGUUAGGGUUAGGGUUAGGAAAAUGUGAAGAUUUUCCCAAAAUCUGAAGAUUUUCCUAAGUGCGGACCCAAUUUUUCACCUUCCAGAAUUGUGUUAGGAGCACGUUUCAGGCCACGGGGAGUCCAUAGAACCUGAUUGUGGGUGAAGUUUUCGGGGGUUGGAGCUUUGGGGCAGGAUAUAGGGAUAUGUGCCACUUUUGACAUGCCGGUUCAUUGCCUUUCCCAAUGAUGAACCGGGCUGAGAUUUGGUCUACCCCCCAUUUUCGGGUAUGCUGAAUCUAGAAAUAGUAAUGAACCAGCGAUCGGACAUUCCUAUCAAAAGUUAUGGCGAAGUGAAAAUUUCCCAUUGAAGAUGAAUGGGAGCGGAAAAAUGGCCAAAGUCAGUGUUUGCAAGUGUUGUACUUGUCUGGAAAUGUUGAAAAUGCAUUGUGAGCACGUUUCAGGCCAUUUCCUGUCAUUUGAGGGCGACUUUGCAAAAGGGGUGUCCUACCGCUUUUGACCAGAGGUGGCGCUGCACAUGUCCGACGGUUAGGGUUAGGGUGAGACUUUGGGCAAGGGGUUAGGGUUAGGGCUGGAGCUAUGGUUAGGGUUAGUUGUGGAGCUAGGGUUGGAGCUAGGGUUAGGGUUAGGGUUGGAGCUAGGGUUAGGGUUAGGGUUAGGAAAAUGUGAAGAUUUUCCCAAAAUCUGAAGAUUUUCCUAAGUGCGGACCCAAUUUUUCACCUUCCAGAAUUGUGUUAGGAGCACGUUUCAGGCCACGGGGAGUCCAUAGAACCUGAUUGUGGGUGAAGUUUUCGGGGGUUGGAGCUUUGGGGCAGGAUAUAGGGAUAUGUGCCACUUUUGACAUGCCGGUUCAUUGCCUUUCCCAAUGAUGAACCGGGCUGAGAUUUGGUCUACCCCCCAUUUUCGGGUAUGCUGAAUCUAGAAAUAGUAAUGAACCAGCGAUCGGACAUUCCUAUCAAAAGUUAUGGCGAAGUGAAAAUUUCCCAUUGAAGAUGAAUGGGAGCGGAAAAAUGGCCAAAGUCAGUGUUUGCAAGUGUUCUACUUGUCUGGAAAUGUUGAAAAUGCAUUGUGAGCACGUUUCAGGCCAUUUCCUGUCAUUUGAGGGCGACUUUGCAAAAAGGGGUGUCCUACCGCUUUUGACCAGAGGUGGCGCUGCACAUGUCCGACGGUUAGGGUUAGGGUGAGACUUUGGGCAAGGGGUUAGGGUUAGGGCUGGAGCUAUGGUUAGGGUUAGUUGUGGAGCUAGGGUUGGAGCUAGGGUUAGGGUUAGGGUUGGAGCUAGGGUUAGGGUUAGGGUUAGGAAAAUGUGAAGAUUUUCCCAAAAUCUGAAGAUUUUCCUAAGUGCGGACCCAAUUUUUCACCUUCCAGAAUUGUGUUAGGAGCACGUUUCAGGCCACGGGGAGUCCAUAGAACCUGAUUGUGGGUGAAGUUUUCGGGGUUGGAGCUUUGGGGCAGGAUAUAGGGAUAUGUGCCACUUUUGACAUGCCGGUUCAUUGCCUUUCCCAAUGAUGAACCGGGCUGAGAUUUGGUCUACCCCCCCAUUUUCGGGUAUGCUGAAUCUAGAAAUAGUAAUGAACCAGCGAUCGGACAUUCCUAUCAAAAGUUAUGGCGAAGUGAAAAUUUCCCAUUGAAGAUGAAUGGGAGCGGAAAAAUGGCCAAAGUCAGUGUUUGCAAGUGUUCUACUUGUCUGGAAAUGUUGAAAAUGCAUUGUGAGCACGUUUCAGGCCAUUUCCUGUCAUUUGAGGGCGACUUUGCAAAAGGGGUGUCCUACCGCUUUUGACCAGAGGUGGCGCUGCACAUGUCCGACGGUUAGGGUUAGGGUGAGACUUUGGGCAAGGGGUUAGGGUUAGGGCUGGAGCUAUGGUUAGGGUUAGUUGUGGAGCUAGGGUUGGAGCUAGGGUUAGGGUUAGGGUUGGAGCUAGGGUUAGGGUUAGGGUUAGGAAAAUGUGAAGAUUUUCCCAAAAUCUGAAGAUUUUCCUAAGUGCGGACCCAAUUUUUCACCUUCCAGAAUUGUGUUAGGAGCACGUUUCAGGCCACGGGGAGUCCAUAGAACCUGAUUGUGGGUGAAGUUUUCGGGGGUUGGAGCUUUGGGGCAGGAUAUAGGGAUAUGUGCCACUUUUGACAUGCCGGUUCAUUGCCUUUCCCAAUGAUGAACCGGGCUGAGAUUUGGUCUACCCCCCAUUUUCGGGUAUGCUGAAUCUAGAAAUAGUAAUGAACCAGCGAUCGGACAUUCCUAUCAAAAGUUAUGGCGAAGUGAAAAUUUCCCAUUGAAAAUGAAUGGGAGCGGAAAAAUGGCCAAAGUCAGUGUUUGCAAGUGUUGUACUUGUCUGGAAAUGUUGAAAAUGCAUUGUGAGCACGUUUCAGGCCAUUUCCUGUCAUUUGAGGGCGACUUUGCAAAAGGGGUGUCAUACCGCUUUUGACCAGAGGUGGCGCUGCACAUGUCCGACGGUUAGGGUUAGGGUGAGACUUUGGGCAAGGGGUUAGGGUUAGGGCUGGAGCUAUGGUUAGGGUUAGUUGUGGAGCUAGGGUUGGAGCUAGGGUUAGGGUUAGGGUUGGAGCUAGGGUUAGGGUUAGGGUUAGGAAAAUGUGAAGAUUUUCCCAAAAUCUGAAGAUUUUCCUAAGUGCGGACCCAAUUUUUCACCUUCCAGAAUUGUGUUAGGAGCACGUUUCAGGCCACGGGGAGUCCAUAGAACCUGAUUGUGGGUGAAGUUUUCGGGGUUGGAGCUUUGGGGCAGGAUAUAGGGAUAUGUGCCACUUUUGACAUGCCGGUUCAUUGCCUUUCCCAAUGAUGAACCGGGCUGAGAUUUGGUCUACCCCCCCAUUUUCGGGUAUGCUGAAUCUAGAAAUAGUAAUGAACCAGCGAUCGGACAUUCCUAUCAAAAGUUAUGGCGAAGUGAAAAUUUCCCAUUGAAAAUGAAUGGGAGCGGAAAAAUGGCCAAAGUCAGUGUUUGCAAGUGUUGUACUUGUCUGGAACUGUUGAAAAUGCAUUGUGAGCACGUUUCAGGCCAUUUCCUGUCAUUUGAGGGCGACUUUGCAAAAGGGGUGUCAUACCGCUUUUGACCAGAGGUGGCGCUGCACAUGUCCGACGGUUAGGGUUAGGGUGAGACUUUGGGCAAGGGGUUAGGGUUAGGGCUGGAGCUAGGGUUAGGGUUAGUUGUGGAGCUAGGGUUAGGGUUAGGGUUGGAGCUAGGGUUAGGGUUAGGGUUGGAGCUAGGGUUAGGGUUAGGGUUAGG